Molecule: ribosomal RNA, 497 nt
Filed under: uncultured bacterium
Lineage: Bacteria
Description: partial 16S ribosomal RNA
Rfam family: Bacterial small subunit ribosomal RNA
Source: RNAcentral
GAUGAACGCUGGCGGCGUGCCUAAUACAUGCAAGUCGAGCGAACGGACGAGAAGCUUGCUUCUCUGAUGUUAGCGGCGGACGGGUGAGUAACACGUGGAUAACCUACCUAUAAGACUGGGAUAACUUCGGGAAACCGGAGCUAAUACCGGAUAAUAUUUUGAACCGCAUGGUUCAAAAGUGAAAGACGGUCUUGCUGUCACUUAUAGAUGGAUCCGCGCUGCAUUAGCUAGUUGGUAAGGUAACGGCUUACCAAGGCAACGAUGCAUAGCCGACCUGAGAGGGUGAUCGGCCACACGGGAACUGAGACACGGUCCAGACUCCUACGGGAGGCAGCAGUAGGGAAUCUUCCGCAAUGUGCGAAAGCCUGACGGAGCAACGCCGCGUGAGUGAUGAAGGUCUUCGGAUCGUAAAACUCUGUUAUUGGGGAAGAACAUAUGUGUAAGUAACUGUGCACAUCUUGACGGUACCUAAUCAGAAAGCCACGGCUAACUACGUG